GGCAACAGAAAACCAGGUGCUCUGCAGGGUGCAGCUUUAUACAACCGCAGUGGUCGAACCAUGAACAAAUUUUGUCACAAGAUUCAAUUUGAUACGUCUGAAUUUAGAUUGUGAUAAAGUUUUUGACAUAAUAUAGGUUUUUGUCACAAUAUAAAUGUGGUCAAAGUUCUUACAAAUCUAUUGCACAAUACUGUGCAAUUGGAAUUUUCUUUAAACUUUUGAAAACAAGCAGUGAAAGGGAGGUAAUCAAGUAAUCAAACAUAUAUAUAACAGUAUUCUUUAAAUUUUAAUUGCAUUACCUCCCUUACA
Molecule: long non-coding RNA, 309 nt
Filed under: Mytilus galloprovincialis (Mediterranean mussel)
Lineage: Eukaryota; Metazoa; Mollusca; Bivalvia; Mytilida; Mytilidae
Source: RNAcentral